GUCCCUGUAGCGCAAUGGAUAGCGCGUUGGAAUUCUAAUCCAAAGGUCUCGAAUCCUACCUGGGGUG
Molecule: non-coding RNA, 67 nt
Organism: Trichonephila clavata
Lineage: Eukaryota; Metazoa; Arthropoda; Arachnida; Araneae; Nephilidae
Source: the annotation of a GenBank genome assembly